Molecule: long non-coding RNA, 478 nt
Organism: Cygnus atratus (black swan)
Lineage: Eukaryota; Metazoa; Chordata; Aves; Anseriformes; Anatidae
Exons: 2
Source: RefSeq, a predicted model, not a curated record
CACCUCGGCGGCGCGGCCGGGCCCGGCCUCUUUGGGCGCCGCGGCCAUGAGGUGAGGUGGGGCCGGGCUGGGCCGGGCCGCCAUGAGGUGAGAGCGCGGGUCUGGGCGUCUGCUCCCCUCCCGGGCUGUGGAAGCGGGGUACACCGUAAAUGGGGUUGUGCCUUCCCCUGCCCGCAGGGGCAGCAGUGCUGGUCAGAAGAAAAGAGUAGCCGGCGGUCCUGCCCUGAAGAUCCCCAUUCAAAUGAAAUUCGAGAAGAUGGAAGCCGUAACCCACGGUUAUGAGUUCUGCCAGAGAGGGGGUUGUUUUCAGGAUCUGGCAUCCUGAAAGGGUCUGUGAACUUGGAACAUCAGAGGUUGGUUUUAGGCAAGGUAUAAGACAAAUUACCAAAACGGUUUGUUAAUUGUUAAGCCGAUCUCACUGCUUGUUUAAAAUUACAUCUUUCAAUUGACCUAUUUAUUAAAUUUAUUUAUAUUUAAA